RNAcentral lists this ribosomal RNA (496 nucleotides) under uncultured bacterium. RNAcentral's name for it is "bacterial SSU rRNA". It matches the Rfam family "Bacterial small subunit ribosomal RNA", at positions 43 to 523 of the family's 1533-position model. The record is from RNAcentral.
GGUGCUAUAAUGCAGUCGAGCGGACCGAAGGGAGCUUGCUCCUUUAGGUUAGCGGCGGACGGGUGAGUAACACGUGGGCAACCUGCCCUGCAGACUGGGAUAACUUCGGGAAACCGGAGCUAAUACCGGAUAACACCGAAAACCGCAGGGUUUUCGGUUGAAAGGCGGCUUUUAGCUGUCACUGCAGGAUGGGCCCGCGGCGCAUUAGCUAGUUGGUGAGGUAACGGCUCACCAAGGCGACGAUGCGUACCCGACCUGAGAGGGUGACCGGCCACACUGGGACUGAGACACGGCCCAGACUCCUACGGGAGGCAGCAGUAGGGAAUCUUCCGCAAUGGACGAAAGUCUGACGGAGCAACGCCGCGUGAGCGAAAAAGGUCUUCGGAUCGUAAAGCUCUGUUGUCAGGGAAGAACAAGUGCCGUUCGAACAGGGCGGUACCUUGACGGUACCUGACGAGGAAGCCACGGCUAACUACGUGCCGCCCCCCCGGGGAAA